Molecule: ribosomal RNA, 440 nt
Filed under: uncultured bacterium
Lineage: Bacteria
Description: partial 16S ribosomal RNA
Rfam family: Bacterial small subunit ribosomal RNA
Source: RNAcentral
CCUACGGGUGGCAGCAGUAGGGAAUAUUGCUCAAUGGGGGAAACCCUGAUGCAGCAACGCCGCGUGGAUGAUGGAGGUUUUAGGAUUGUAAACUCCUUUUGUCAGAGAAGAUAAUGACGGUAUCUCACGAAUAAGCACCUGCUAACUCCGGUCCAGGAGCCGCGGGAAUACGGAGGGGGCAAGCGUUACUCGGAAUCACUGGGGGUAAAGAGCGCGUUGGCGGGAAAGCAAGUCAGAUGUGAAAGCCUAUGGCUUAACCAUAGAACUGCAUUUGAAACUGUUAUUCUAGAGUAUGGGAGAGGUAGGUGGAAUUCUUGGUGGAGGGGUGAAAUCCGUAGAUAGCAAGAGGAAUACUGAUUGCGAAGGCGACCUGCUAGAACAUAACUGACGCUGAUGCGCGAAAGCGUGGGGAGCAAACAGGAUUAGAUACCCCGGUAGUC